This 1408-nucleotide ribosomal RNA is filed under the name uncultured Bordetella sp. RNAcentral describes it as "partial 16S-23S ribosomal RNA intergenic spacer". It matches the Rfam family "Bacterial small subunit ribosomal RNA". The record is from RNAcentral. Lineage: Bacteria; Pseudomonadati; Pseudomonadota; Betaproteobacteria; Burkholderiales; Alcaligenaceae.
AGUCGAACGGCAGCACGGACUUCGGUCUGGUGGCGAGUGGCGAACGGGUGAGUAAUGUAUCGGAACGUGCCUAGUAGCGGGGAUAACUACGCGAAAGCGUUACCGCACACGCCCCGGGGAAAGCGGGGACCUUCGGGCCUCGCACUAUUAGAGCGGCCGAUAUCGGAUUAGCUAGUUUAUGGGGUAACGUCAAAUUAAGGCGACGAUCCGUAGCUGGUUUGAGAGGACGACUCAGCCACACUGGGACUGAGACACGGCCCAGACUCCUACGGAGUGGCAGCAGUGGGAAUUUUGGACAAUGGGGAAACCCGAUCCGUACCAUCUCCGCGUGCGAUGAAGGCCUUCGGGUUGUAAAGCACUUUUGGCAGGAAAGAACGGCACGGGAUAAUACCCCGUGCAACUGACGGUACCUGCAGAAUAAGCACCGGCUAACUACGCGCCAGCAGCCGCGGUAAUACGUAGGGGCGCAAGCGUUAAUCGGAAUUACUGGGGCGCAUGCAGGCGGUUCGAAAGAAAGAUGUGAAAUCCCAGAGCUUAACUUUGGGAACUGUAUUUAACUACCGGAGCUAGGGAGUGUGUCAGAGGGAGGGAAAUUCGCGUGUAGCAGUGAAAUGCGUAGAUAUGCGGAGGAACACCGAUGGCGAAGGCAGCCUCCUGGGAUAACACUGACGCUCAUGCACGAAAGCGUGGGGAGCAAACAGGAUUAGAUACCCUGGUAGUCCACGCCCUUAAACGAUGUCAACUAGCUGUUGGGGCUUCCCGGGCCUUGGUAGCAGCUAACGCGUGCUGACCGCUUCGGGGAGUACGGUCGCAGAUUAAACUCAAAGGAAUUGACGGGGACCUGCACAAGCGGUGGAUGAUGUGGAUUAAUCUGAUGCAACGCGAAAACCUUACCUACCCUUGACAUGUCUGGAAUCCCGAAGAUUUGAGCUCAAAAGAGAACCGGAACACAGGUGCUGCAUGGCUGUCGUCAGCUCGUGUCGUGAGAUGUUGGGUUAAGUCCCGGCAACGAGCGGCAACCUUGUCAUUAGCUGUUACGAAAGGGCACUCUAAUGAUAUUGCCGGUGACAAACCGGAGGCGCAUACGACACAAUGUCCUCAUGGUUCUUAUGGGUAGGGCUUCACACGUCAUACAAUGGUCGGGACAGAGGGGUCACAACCCGCGAGGGGGAGCCAAUCCCAGAAACCCGAUCGUAGUCCGGAUCGCAGUCUGCAACUCGACUGCGUGAAGUCGGAAUCGCUAGUAAUCGCGGAUCAGCAUGUCGCGGUGAAUACGUUCCUCGGGUCUUGUAACACCGCCCGUCACAAGCUCAUGGGGAGUGGGUUUUACCAGAAGUAGUUAUCUAACCGUAAGGAGGGCGAUUACCACGGUAGGAUUCAUGACUGGGGUGAAGUCGUAACAAGGUAA